GGAGGCUUCGCCUAGUCUGGUCUAUGGCGCCGCACUGCUAAUGCGGUUUGGGGUAACACCCCAUCCCGGGUUCAAAUCCCGGAGCCUCCG
RNAcentral lists this transfer RNA (90 nucleotides) under Pseudonocardia thermophila. It matches the Rfam family "tRNA". Rfam says of the family: Transfer RNA (tRNA) molecules are approximately 80 nucleotides in length. Their secondary structure includes four short double-helical elements and three loops (D, anti-codon, and T loops). Further hydrogen bonds mediate the characteristic L-shaped molecular structure. tRNAs have two regions of fundamental functional importance: the anti-codon, which is responsible for specific mRNA codon recognition, and the 3' end, to which the tRNAs corresponding amino acid is attached (by aminoacyl-tRNA synthetases). tRNAs cope with the degeneracy of the genetic code in two manners: having more than one tRNA (with a specific anti-codon) for a particular amino acid; and 'wobble' base-pairing, i.e. permitting non-standard base-pairing at the 3rd anti-codon position. Lineage: Bacteria; Bacillati; Actinomycetota; Actinomycetes; Pseudonocardiales; Pseudonocardiaceae. The record is from Rfam by way of RNAcentral.